CGGACGGGCGAGUAAUGUCUGGGAAACUGCCUGAUGGAGGGGGAUAACUACUGGAAACGGUAGCUAAUACCGCAUAACGUCGCAAGACCAAAGAGGGGGACCUUAGGGCCUCUUGCCAUCGGAUGUGCCCAGAUGGGAUUAGCUAGUAGGUGGGGUAACGGCUCACCUAGGCGACGAUCCCUAGCUGGUCUGAGAGGAUGACCAGCCACACUGGAACUGAGACACGGUCCAG
RNAcentral lists this ribosomal RNA (232 nucleotides) under uncultured bacterium. RNAcentral describes it as "partial 16S ribosomal RNA". It matches the Rfam family "Bacterial small subunit ribosomal RNA", at positions 99 to 334 of the family's 1533-position model. The record is from RNAcentral.